UACGUAGGGUGCAAGCGUUGUCCGGAAUUAUUGGGCGUAAAGAGCUUGUAGGCGGUUUGUCGCGUCUGCUGUGAAAUUUCGGGGCUCAACCCCGAACUUGCAGUGGGUACGGGCAGACUAGAGUGUGGUAGGGGAGACUGGAAUUCCUGGUGUAGCGGUGGAAUGCGCAGAUAUCAGGAAGAACACCGGUGGCGAAGGCGGGUCUCUGGGCAACAACUGACGCUGAGGAGCGAAAGCGUGGGGAGCGAACAGG
This 253-nucleotide ribosomal RNA is filed under the name uncultured bacterium. Its description in RNAcentral is "partial 16S ribosomal RNA". It matches the Rfam family "Bacterial small subunit ribosomal RNA", at positions 524 to 776 of the family's 1533-position model. The record is from RNAcentral.